This 463-nucleotide ribosomal RNA is filed under the name Polyporus tuberaster. Its description in RNAcentral is "eukaryotic LSU rRNA". The stretch from base 104 to 257 matches the Rfam family "5.8S ribosomal RNA". The record is from RNAcentral. Lineage: Eukaryota; Fungi; Basidiomycota; Agaricomycetes; Polyporales; Polyporaceae.
GAGGGGUUGCGCUCCGGCGUGGCUCCUUUGAAACCUUGACCCACGUUUCACUACAAACACGAUGUAUCAGAAUGUCUAUUGCGAUGUUAACGCAUUUAUAUACAACUUUCAGCAACGGAUCUCUUGGCUCUCGCAUCGAUGAAGAACGCAGCGAAAUGCGAUAAGUAAUGUGAAUUGCAGAAUUCAGUGAAUCAUCGAAUCUUUGAACGCACCUUGCGCUCCUUGGCAUUCCGAGGAGCACGCCUGUUUGAGUGUCAUGAAAUUCUCAACCUGCGAGAUCCUUGUGGUCUUCGUAAGGCUUGGACUUUGGAGGCUUUUGUCGGCGAUUGUCGACUCCUCUCAAAUGCAUUAGCUUGGUUCCUUGCGGAUCGGCUUUCGGUGUGAUAGUUGUCUACGCCGUGACCGUGAAGCGUUUUGGCGAGCUUCUAACCGUCUCGUUCGAGACUUAUUCUUCAUUGACAUC